Molecule: ribosomal RNA, 301 nt
Filed under: uncultured bacterium
Lineage: Bacteria
Description: partial 16S ribosomal RNA
Rfam family: Bacterial small subunit ribosomal RNA
Source: RNAcentral
CAGCAGCCGCGGUAAUACAGAGGGUGCGAGCGUUAAUCGGAUUUACUGGGGGUAAAGCGUGCGUAGGCGGCUUCUUAAGUCGGAUGUGAAAUCCCUGAGCUUAACUUAGGAAUUGCAUUCGAUACUGGGAAGCUAGAGUAUGGGAGAGGAUGGUAGAAUUCCAGGUGUAGCGGUGAAAUGCGUAGAGAUCUGGAGGAAUACCGAUGGCGAAGGCAGCCAUCUGGCCUAAUACUGACGCUGAGGUACGAAAGCAUGGGGAGCAAACAGGAUUAGAUACCCCUGUAGUCCCUGUCUCUUAUAC